This 73-nucleotide transfer RNA is filed under the name Achromatium sp. WMS3. It matches the Rfam family "tRNA". Rfam says of the family: Transfer RNA (tRNA) molecules are approximately 80 nucleotides in length. Lineage: Bacteria; Pseudomonadati; Pseudomonadota; Gammaproteobacteria; Thiotrichales; Thiotrichaceae. The record is from Rfam by way of RNAcentral.
GUGGUUAUAGCUCAGUUGGUAGAGCACUGGAUUGUGGCUCCAGUGGCCGUGGGUUCGAGUCCCAUUAACCACC